Molecule: ribosomal RNA, 403 nt
Filed under: bacterium
Lineage: Bacteria
Description: partial 16S ribosomal RNA
Rfam family: Bacterial small subunit ribosomal RNA
Source: RNAcentral
UGGGGAAUAUUGCACAAUGGGGGAAACCCUGAUGCAGCGACGCCGCGUGAACGAAGAAGGUAUUCGUAUCGUAAAGUUCUGUCCUAUGGGAAGAUAAUGACAGUACCAUAGAAGAAAGCUCCGGCUAAAUACGUGCCAGCAGCCGCGGUAAUACGUAUGGAGCGAGCGUUGUCCGGAAUUAUUGGGCGUAAAGGGUACGCAGGCGGUUUAAUAAGUCGAAUGUUUAAGAUCGGGGCUCAACCCCGCAAAGCAUUGGAAACUGAUAAACUUGAGUAGUGGAGAGGAAAGUGGAAUUCCUAGUGUAGUGGUGAAAUACGUAGAUAUUAGGAGGAAUACCAGUAGCGAAGGCGACUUUCUGGACACAAACUGACGCUGAGGUACGAAAGCGUGGGGAGCAAACAGG